UCAAUAAGCGGAGGAAAAGAAACUAACAAGGAUUCCCCUAGUAACUGCGAGUGAAGCGGGAAAAGCUCAAAUUUAAAAUCUGGCGGUCUCUGGCCGUCCGAGUUGUAAUCUAGAGAAGUAAUGCCCGUGCUGGACCGUGUAUAAGUCUCCUGGGAUGGGGCGUCAUAGAGGGUGAGAAUCCCGUCUUUGACACGGACUACCAGUGCAUUGUGGUAUGCUCUCAAAGAGUCGAGUUGUUUGGGAAUGCAGCUCAAAAUGGGUGGUAAAUUCCAUCUAAAGCUAAAUAUUGGCGAGAGACCGAUAGCGAACAAGUACCGUGAGGGAAAGAUGAAAAGAACUUUGGAAAGAGAGUUAAACAGUACGUGAAAUUGCUGAAAGGGAAACGCUUGAAGUCAGUCGCGUUGGCCAGGGAUCAGCCUUGCUUUUGCAUGGUGUACUUUCUGGUUGACGGGUCAGCAUCAAUUUUGACCGCUGGAAAAAGACCUGGGGAAUGUGGCAGCUUCGGCUGUGUUAUAGCCCCUAGUCGCAUACAGUGGUUGGGAUUGAGGAACUCAGCACGCCGCAAGGCCGGGUUUCGACCACGUUCGUGCUUAGGAUGCUGGCAUAAUGGCUUUAAGCGACCCGUCUUGAAACACGGACCAAGGAGUCUAACAUGCCUGCGAGUAUUUGGGUGGAAAACCCAAGUGCGUAAUGAAAGUGAAAGUUGAGAUCCCUGUCGUGGGGAGCAUCGACGCCCGGACCAGAACUUUUGGGACGGAUCCGCGGUGGAGCAUGUAUGUUGGGACCCGAAAGAUGGUGAACUAUGCCUGAAUAGGGUGAAGCCAGAGGAAACUCUGGUGGAGGCUCGUAGCGAUUCUGACGUGCAAAUCGAUCGUCAAAUUUGGGUAUAGGGGCGAAAGACUAAUCGAACAUCUAGUA
RNAcentral lists this ribosomal RNA (918 nucleotides) under Agaricus julius. Its description in RNAcentral is "partial large subunit ribosomal RNA". It matches the Rfam family "Eukaryotic large subunit ribosomal RNA", at positions 43 to 949 of the family's 3401-position model. Lineage: Eukaryota; Fungi; Basidiomycota; Agaricomycetes; Agaricales; Agaricaceae. The record is from RNAcentral.